RNAcentral lists this non-coding RNA (227 nucleotides) under Clostridium sp. RNAcentral's name for it is "GlcN6P sequence". It matches the Rfam family "glmS glucosamine-6-phosphate activated ribozyme aptamer". Rfam says of the family: This entry contains a glucosamine-6-phosphate activated ribozyme that is found in the mRNA for GlmS. GlmS is an enzyme that uses fructose-6-phosphate and glutamine to generate glucosamine-6-phosphate. Lineage: Bacteria; Bacillati; Bacillota; Clostridia; Eubacteriales; Clostridiaceae. The record is from RNAcentral. RNAcentral also lists the same sequence under 1 other name.
UUUUGAAAAAAAGCGCCAGGACUAAGUGAAAAAGGAGGUUAAUUAGCUGAAGCUAAUUAACUAAGUUCGACUAACCAAAUCAUAGAUUUGGAGUCUCACUUAUCACUUAAGUUGACGAGGUUGGGGAGUAUCGAAACUUCGGCGGGUGCCCCACGGUAUCGCACUACCGUAAACGACUGGUAAAACUGUAAAGCGAUUUGCAGCACAAAUUCAGUCUGGUGUUAAAA